GAUGAACGCUAGCGGGAGGCCUAACACAUGCAAGCCGAGCGGUAUUGUUUCUUCGGAAAUGCGAGAGCGGCGUACGGGUGCGUAACACGUGUGCAACCUGCCUUUAUCUGGGGGAUAGCCUUUCGAAAGGAAGAUUAAUACUCCAUAAUAUAUUGAACGGCAUCGUUUAAUAUUGAAAGCUCCGGCGGAUAGAGAUGGGCACGCGCAAGAUUAGCUAGUUGGUGAGGUAACGGCUCACCAAGGCGAUGAUCUUUAGGGGGCCUGAGAGGGUGAUCCCCCACACUGGUACUGAGACACGGACCAGACUCCUACGGGAGGCAGCAGUGAGGAAUAUUGGUCAAUGGGUGCAAGCCUGAACCAGCCAUCCCGCGUGAAGGACGACUGCCCUAUGGGUUGUAAACUUCUUUUGUAUAGGGAUAAACCUACCCUCGAGAGGGUAGCUGAAGGUACUAUACGAAUAAGCACCGGCUAACUCCGCG
RNAcentral lists this ribosomal RNA (479 nucleotides) under uncultured bacterium. RNAcentral's name for it is "partial 16S ribosomal RNA". It matches the Rfam family "Bacterial small subunit ribosomal RNA", at positions 28 to 507 of the family's 1533-position model. The record is from RNAcentral.